GUGUCAUCUCAAGUUAAAAGACCAUUCACACAACUACAGCAUCGAGAUGAUCACUAACGAUCGAGUAAAAAUCCAAAUGAUCUCUCGUAUGGUCAUGCUCAGUACUAGUUGUUCUCUAACAACUACCCACACUCAUCAUCCAGUAUCUCAACACUAUAGACUAGAGACCCAUCUAUCCAAAGGAAGCGAUCUGUGCAUCAGUUUAUCCAGAUCGAUCACCAUCCUCAUG
Molecule: long non-coding RNA, 229 nt
Filed under: Elaeis guineensis (African oil palm)
Lineage: Eukaryota; Viridiplantae; Streptophyta; Magnoliopsida; Arecales; Arecaceae
Description: long non-coding RNA (EGUI_LNC069135)
Source: RNAcentral